GUGGGGAAUCUUGCGCAAUGGGCGAAAGCCUGACGCAGCCAUGCCGCGUGAAUGAUGAAGGUCUUAGGAUUGUAAAAUUCUUUCACCGGGGACGAUAAUGACGGUACCCGGAGAAGAAGCCCGGCUAACUUCGUGCCAGCAGCCGCGGUAAUACGAAGGGGGCUAGCGUUGCUCGGAAUUACUGGGCGUAAAGGGCGCGUAGGCGGAUCGUUAAGUCAGGGGUGAAAUCCCAGAGCUCAACUCUGGAACUGCCCUUGAUACUGGCGAUCUUGAGUGUGAGAGAGGUAUGUGGAACUCCGAGUGUAGAGGUGAAAUUCGUAGAUAUUCGGAAGAACACCAGUGGCGAAGGCGACUCACUGGCCCAAUACUGACGCUGAGGCGCGAAAGCGUGGGGAGCAAACAGGAUUAGAUACCCGGGUAGUCC
Molecule: ribosomal RNA, 424 nt
Filed under: uncultured bacterium
Lineage: Bacteria
Description: partial 16S ribosomal RNA
Rfam family: Bacterial small subunit ribosomal RNA
Source: RNAcentral